RNAcentral lists this ribosomal RNA (494 nucleotides) under uncultured bacterium. RNAcentral's name for it is "partial 16S ribosomal RNA". It matches the Rfam family "Bacterial small subunit ribosomal RNA", at positions 28 to 507 of the family's 1533-position model. The record is from RNAcentral.
GACGAACGCUGGCGGCGUGCUUAACACAUGCAAGUCGAACGGAAAGGCCUGUCCUUCCUUGUGUUGGACGGGUACUCGAGUGGCGAACGGGUGAGUAACACGUGAGUGAUCUGCCCCCAACUUGGGUAUAAGCCUGGGAAACUGGGUCUAAUUCCCGAUAGGACUGCAGGGUGGUGCCUGUGGUGGAAAACGAUUUUCUAGUGGUUGGGGAUGAGCUCGCGGCCUAUCAGCUUGUUGGUGGGGUAAUGGCCUACCAAGGCGGCGACGGGUAGCCGGCCUGAGAGGGGGGACGGCCACAUUGGGACUGAGAUACGGCCCAGACUGCUACGGGAGGCAGCAGUGGGGAAUAUUGCACAGUGGGCGGAAGCCUGAUGCAGCGACGCCGCGUGGGGGAUGACGGCCUUCGGGUUGUAAACUCCUUUCGACCGAGAAGAAGCCGCCUGGUUGGAAGGGUGGUGACGGUAGUGGUAGAAGAAGCACUGGCUAACUACGUG